This is a long non-coding RNA of Sinocyclocheilus grahami, 210 nucleotides long. RefSeq lists it as uncharacterized. The transcript has 2 exons. The record is from RefSeq and is a predicted model, not a curated record. Lineage: Eukaryota; Metazoa; Chordata; Actinopteri; Cypriniformes; Cyprinidae.
GCGACAGAUUCAGGGAGUGUCUUAUGGAGUAAAGCUAAGGGUCCAGGCCUUGGAGCACUACAAAGUGGUCAUGGGCUAUAGUUCCACCAAGAGCAACAUUUCCAGAGGACUGAACAGGGCUUCCAUCCGAAAAAGGACCCAGCGCAUCCAGCAGACCGUCAGCAGCUGGACUGAUGUGGCCAUGUCAAACAUCCGCAAAACCUCUUAAAA